UUUUGUGUUCCCUUUAUUUUUUUGAACAGUAUAUAUAUAUAUACUGCUCAAAAAAAUAAAGGGAACACAAAAA
Non-coding RNA from Pelobates cultripes (western spadefoot toad), 73 nucleotides. Lineage: Eukaryota; Metazoa; Chordata; Amphibia; Anura; Pelobatidae. The record is from the annotation of a GenBank genome assembly.